Molecule: unclassified non-coding RNA, 88 nt
Organism: Cavia aperea (Brazilian guinea pig)
Lineage: Eukaryota; Metazoa; Chordata; Mammalia; Rodentia; Caviidae
Gene: Vault
Rfam family: Vault RNA
About the family: This family of RNAs are found as part of the enigmatic vault ribonucleoprotein complex. The complex consists of a major vault protein (MVP), two minor vault proteins (VPARP and TEP1), and several small untranslated RNA molecules.
Source: Ensembl
GGGCUGGCCUUAGCCCAGCGGUUCCUUCGAGUCUGGCUUCCCCACAGCCCGGAGGGUUCGAGAUCCACGGGCGCUCUCCAGUCCUUAA